GGGGGUGUAGCUCAGUUGGUUAGAGCGCAUGCCUGUCACGCAUGAGGUCGCGAGUUCGAGCCUCGUCACUCCCGCCA
This 77-nucleotide transfer RNA is filed under the name Fusobacteriaceae bacterium. RNAcentral describes it as "tRNA-Asp". It matches the Rfam family "tRNA". From Rfam's summary of the family: Transfer RNA (tRNA) molecules are approximately 80 nucleotides in length. The record is from RNAcentral. Lineage: Bacteria; Fusobacteriati; Fusobacteriota; Fusobacteriia; Fusobacteriales; Fusobacteriaceae. RNAcentral also lists the same sequence under 2 other names.